CUCGACAACGGAUAUCUCGGCUCUCGCAUCGAUGAAGAACGUAGUGAAAUGCGAUACUUGGUGUGAAUUGCAGAAUCCCGUGAACCAUCGAGUUUUUGAACGCAAGUUGCGCCCAAAGGUUUCUUCCCAAGGGCACGUCUUCUUGGGCGUCACA
Molecule: ribosomal RNA, 154 nt
Filed under: Begonia formosana x Begonia aptera
Lineage: Eukaryota; Viridiplantae; Streptophyta; Magnoliopsida; Cucurbitales; Begoniaceae
Description: 5.8S ribosomal RNA
Rfam family: 5.8S ribosomal RNA
About the family: 5.8S ribosomal RNA (5.8S rRNA) is a component of the large subunit of the eukaryotic ribosome.
Source: RNAcentral